GGGGCAUAGGCACUAAAGCAACAAGACAAUAGAAGCCUACAUCUUGCCCAAGAUAAUUAGCUUACAUGCUGAUGACAAGGGACAUCACUUCUCAUAGAUGAAGAGUCUGGAGAGGAAGAGUGGGGAAUAUGGUCAGACUCAAAGAUUUGGACAGGUGGACUCAGAUUGGAGCCCUACACAAUAGACCUCCAAGGUUCCAGGCAAAGAAGGCUGCUGAGGUAAUACAAUUAGAUAAUGUCCCGCAUUGACGUAUGGAAGGACAAGAUUGACUGCCGCCUACAUCAGUAAUUAUAUAUGCAUUGUUUUCCGCAACUGGAUCCAGAAUAAAUCAUUUACAACAUUGCCUUGGAAUAACAUUGUCUCCAGAAGCAAGCAAGUACCUUAGGUCAGAAGGUCCUGUGGAGCAUAGAUCGACUCAUCCUCGACCAGGGACAAUGAACCAUUGGGAAACAUAGAUGUUGCAUUUGCUAGCAUGAUGAUGUCAUGGAUGUAGGGGCUAACCAAAGAUGAGAAAAGGAAUUCCUAGCCAACCAUCAAUAUUUGGUGUCAUAACAGACAGGGACGUUUGGACCCUUUGAACUUCACAGGAGAGAGCCUACAAGGAUGUAUAGUUGCCUACUGUCACCCUCUGAGACUUAUCCAAAGAAUGAGCAGAAAGAUAUUGCUACAUUCCAAUGUAAUGGCAUGCCUAUUCAAGUCGUGUAAACCCAGUGUAAGCGAGCUCCUUGGAACCUCUAUUUCUGUAAUCUUGGGUAGUGAUGUUCCUUAUUCUUUUUUAUUCUUUUUUCUUCCAUCCUCUUCUGUGUCUUUUUCUUGGUCAUUGUCAUUUUGUCAGCAGUAUAAUUAAGUCUCUGAACAAAAUAUAUAAGUGCAAUGACUAUUCAUGCCAACAGCUGUUAUAAUACUGAUAUUCAAACAAAGAAUUAGUACACCACUGACACAAAAUAUAUGGACUAUGAAUUGAUUAUUUAACACUUCUGCUUCUGUCUUACACCUGACUUAGAAUCUGGUAUACAUAUGUAAAAAUAUAGUGUAUUGCUUACUAUUACAGUAAGUGCGUCACUGUUAA
Long non-coding RNA from Gopherus evgoodei (Goodes thornscrub tortoise), 1069 nucleotides. RefSeq lists it as uncharacterized. The record is from RefSeq and is a predicted model, not a curated record. NCBI's taxonomy places the organism in Eukaryota, Metazoa, Chordata, Testudines, Testudinidae. The transcript has 7 exons.